AGGAUUAGCAGAGACUUUUACUUUCUGUUUUCUUUAUUUCAGUAUUAUUGUAAGUUUGAAAUCAGAAAAAAUGCAGAAAGAGUUUAAAAUAUGCUUAUCAUGGGAUGGAAGCAUUAGUUUCUUCUUUAUCUGAGUUUUUUUUGGUUGGAGUUUGUAGUUUUUAUUAGUUUCCCACAGACAAAGUAGAUUUCUUCUGAAAUCAUAAAAAAAGGGGAAAAAAGCAUAUUUUUAAAUUAGUUGCAAACUAUCUGGUUACAGUGCCUGACAAACAGUAAGUCUACAAACACCAGGUAGGUCUGGUGUUUUCCAGGUUGGUGAGGUCUUCCUUGCAGCACACAACCCAAUGGAUCUCUUCCAAGACCAGAUGCACUGGGCUCAUACCAAAGCAUGCCAGGGGGCUUCCCUCCUCUCCCCAGUAUCCUCCUGACGGGUCUAGGAUUUUGCUGGUCUUUCUAACUGGAGCAGCACCUAAACUAGAAACAGGCAGUCAGCUUACAUCUGUAGGAUUGACUUGAAAGGCUCUAAGUGAAUCCAAGAUUCCUUUUGCUCAUCGUCACUGACAUUUCAUAGCAUAUCACACAAUAACUCGAGUUUGAAUUAUCUUUCCCAGAUAUAUUACAUGUGGCUUCACUCACACUAACAGGCUGCUUUCUCUCUGCCCUACGCUGUGAGCUUGCGAGGCAGAGGGAGAUGCUCUCCUCUCAACUUUCUCACCACCAAGGACCUUCUCACUUCCACCCUUCCCCCAGCCCUAACUCCAAGUUCCUAAGAUGCUUAUUUACAAAACUGUUCUUAUUAAACAACAAAUAAGUGGUCUCCUUUUUUACUAAAGAUAAACACUAACUUCCAGCAGUCGGAACUUUAGACACAUACAAGAUAGUAAAAUUCCAACUGAAAGCAGGAACAUGCGACACUUUGGUCAUCCUGGACAAUGAUUUUUGUGGCUAAGUGUAUGAUUUCCAUUAGAAUUUUUACAAUAUUAAAAAUAACUGUUGUAUUCCCAUCACUUUGCCCCCAGAUGCCUAAGGAUCCCAAGUAGGAAAAAUUUCACUCGAAGACAAAUCUCACUCAAGACCCCAUGAUCCGCACAGAGAGGAGUCUCAAAGGCCCAAAGAAAUUGAUUUCUAGUUGUAGCCAUUUCAAUGCUCGGUAGAUAAAAGGCAGUUCUUCUCAUUGCUAAGUCCUGCAUUUGGAGUCCGAGGGGAAGAUCUGUGGCCCUUUAUCCUGGAAAGAAUCCAUCACGUGAAGAGCAGAGCUGGGGAGAGCCCUUAGUUGUGUUAAGUUCUUGUUUUCUCUUCUUAGUUUAAGUAGAACUGAAACUGUGAAGUAGGCAGCAGGCCAGAGACCCAGAACAGAGCUCUGAGGUGAAUUUAUAAUAAAAUGACUGUAAAAAAUAUUCCCCAAUGUGCUUUAACUCUUUCUUCUUAAUAUAUUAACACGUUUGAAGCUUUUUUUAUUGAACAUUUCCAACCAAGGUAAUAACUAUAAACAUAAUUGUCUUAGCUGAGUUCUCCCAGAU
RNAcentral lists this long non-coding RNA (1519 nucleotides) under Equus caballus (horse). RNAcentral describes it as "lncRNA (ENSECAG00000060212.1)". Lineage: Eukaryota; Metazoa; Chordata; Mammalia; Perissodactyla; Equidae. The record is from RNAcentral.